CCUACGGGGGGCAGCAGUGGGGAAUAUUGGACAAUGGGCGAAAGCCUGAUCCAGCGACGCCGCGUGUGUGAAGAAGGCCUGCGGGUUGUAAAGCACUUUCGAUGGGAACGAAAUGUGCCGGGCUAAUACCCCGGCAAGCUGACGUUACUCAAUGAAGAAGCACCGGCUAACUCUGUGCCAGCAGCCGCGGUAAUACAGAGGGUGCGAGCGUUAAUCGGAAUUACUGGGCGUAAAGCGCACGUAGGUGGCGACGUAAGUCGGGUGUGAAAGCCCCGGGCUCAACCUGGGAAUUGCAUUCGAGACUGCAUUGCUGGAGUACGGAAGAGGAAGGCGGAAUUCCCGGUGUAGCGGUGAAAUGCGUAGAUAUCGGGAGGAACAUCAGUGGCGAAGGCGGCCUUCUGGUCCAGUACUGACACUCAAGUGCGAAAGCGUGGGGAGC
Molecule: ribosomal RNA, 439 nt
Filed under: uncultured Halochromatium sp.
Lineage: Bacteria; Pseudomonadati; Pseudomonadota; Gammaproteobacteria; Chromatiales; Chromatiaceae
Description: bacterial SSU rRNA
Rfam family: Bacterial small subunit ribosomal RNA
Source: RNAcentral